This 440-nucleotide ribosomal RNA is filed under the name uncultured bacterium. RNAcentral describes it as "partial 16S ribosomal RNA". It matches the Rfam family "Bacterial small subunit ribosomal RNA", at positions 338 to 795 of the family's 1533-position model. The record is from RNAcentral.
CCUACGGGUGGCAGCAGUAGGGAAUAUUGCUCAAUGGGGGAAACCCUGAACCAGCAACGCCGCGUGGAGGAUGAAGGUCUUCGGAUUGUAAACCCUCUUUGUUAGAGAAGAUAAUGACGGUACCUAACGAAUAAGCACCGGCUAACUCCGUGCCACCAGCCGUGGUAACACGGAGGGUGCAACCGUUACUCGGAAUCACUGGGCGUAAACGGCGUGUAGGCGGGAUAGCAAGUCAGAUGUGAAAUCCUAGGGGUUAACCAUAGAAGUGCAUUUGAAACUGGUAGUCUAGAGUAUGCGAGAGGUAGGUGGAAUGCGUGGUGUAGCGGUAAAAUCCGUAGAGAUCGAGAAGAAUACUGAUUGCGAAGGCAGCCUGCUGGAGCCUAACUGACGCUGAUGCACGAAAGCGUGGGGAGCGAACAGGAUUAGAUACCCCAGUAGUC